CUGCAGACCAUCGUGGCCCUUUGCAGUGUUCGGAAACAUAUGCGCACCCCAGGGAGGGACACACACACACACACACACACACACACACACACACACACACACGCAAACUCACAAACACAACACACAGACAGAAAAUGACAAAUAAACACACACACUCACACACACACACACAGGAGCCCACAGAAAAAAGCAAAUAGACGCAGAAACGGGCACGUGCAGUAGUUCUGGCCACACAUGUUCCCUAGGUAUCCACAGAAUGGCAUGGGUAUUGUAUAUUCAUAAAGAUGGAGAUCAGUCAUGGAGGCCAAGGACAAGUAGGUGCACUGGUUGAACUACAGUAGAGAAUGGCAUGGAAGUGGUGAGCAAUGGACCUGGGCCUGUUUCUCAAGUGUGUAUUUGAUUUCUUUACAAUUCCCCGGAGAAGUUGUCAUGGGAGGCCAGCCGCCUGCUGGCAAGGAAGAUGGUUGAUUCUUCUGAUCAAUGGAGGCCCUGCAGAGUCCUGUAGUCACUGUGGCCUGGCAUCCAUGGUGCACCCAAUGCUGGUGGAUGGCUUAGGACGGUACGCCUCACCUGAGAGGGCGGCUAGAGACAGUGUCUGCUCAGGACAUCAGAUGUCCCGUGAGGAGGAGUGUGUACUCACACCAGGGGAGUUGACUGAGGCAGUUGCUGUGGGAGGUGUGGUAACUGCUGGAAGGAAGAUGCUCAAUUCUUCUGAGCAACGAAGGCCACACGGAGUCCUGGAUUCUGUGUGGCCUGGCAUCCAUGGCGCACUGUGUGCUGGCAGGUGGCUCAGGACGAGUAGUGGGCUCCACUGUUGGGCACAUCUUCCUGGAAGUCGUCUCUUGGCCCGCCAUUGCCGAGCGGCCACACCUGCUGCAGCUCGUGUGAGCAAAUAUGGCUCUGGAUCCUCUUUCCUGCUUUGAAAGCAGCUUCCAUCCUGAAGGCGUCCAGAGGGGGCAGUUAUCAUGGGACACCCGCCAUAUGCUGGCAAGGAAGAUGGUCAGUUCUUCUGAGCCACAAAGGCCCCCAACAUCCUG
Molecule: long non-coding RNA, 1037 nt
Filed under: Homo sapiens (human)
Lineage: Eukaryota; Metazoa; Chordata; Mammalia; Primates; Hominidae
Description: HSALNT0380128
Source: RNAcentral